CAAAGUCUUUACUUAUUUUCUACUUCAAAGCAUGCUUAAACUUUGCAGGAGCAGGAUGUGGAGGGUUUGAAACGGAAAUUAUCCGAAUCGGAAGCCAAUGAAACGAUAAUCAGGCUACUGUUGAUGAAGAGAUUUUCGAUGCCCAGUCUUUAAGGUUAUCCACUAAUGAGUUACUAAGAACUAUUGGCCUAAAAUGUGGACAAAUCAUUGCAAUUAGAAAAGCAUUUCCUAGUUCUUUGGAUACAAGCACUAAAGAAUCUACUGCUCCAUGGCCUUAAUCAACUAUUCCUAUGACCCCCAAUGCAAUCAUUUCUGCAGAAAAGCAGGAAUCUGCCAAAACAAGUCAUAGCAAUGCAUCAGUGUCCAGUGCUUUUGUGAAAACACCUGAAUCUGGAAAAAAGAAUAUAUUAUCCAUAGAGCUGCCUGAAAAGUCAUCGUUAUCUCCAAGAGUACAACAGGGACUAAGAGAAGGAAAGUUGAUAGACAAAGCCAGAAAUGAGUAUGUCCGAGAUGUGUGCAAUGUAAUCCGUACAUUUUCAUUGCAUGUAUAUAUGUAUACAUGUACAGUAUAGGCAUAUAGUUAAUUGUUCAUUGCUAUGUUUUUAUAAUUUCAUAACUUGCCCUACAGUUGUCCAUGACU
Dendronephthya gigantea is the source of this 640-nucleotide long non-coding RNA. RefSeq lists it as uncharacterized. Lineage: Eukaryota; Metazoa; Cnidaria; Anthozoa; Malacalcyonacea; Nephtheidae. The record is from RefSeq and is a predicted model, not a curated record. The transcript has 5 exons.